RNAcentral lists this ribosomal RNA (319 nucleotides) under uncultured eukaryote. Its description in RNAcentral is "partial 18S ribosomal RNA". It matches the Rfam family "Eukaryotic small subunit ribosomal RNA", at positions 1470 to 1796 of the family's 1831-position model. The record is from RNAcentral.
CCCUUAGAUGUUCUGGGCAGCACGCGCGCUACAAUGGUCUUCGCAAACGGAUGCAUUCUCGAAGGAGAAUGCCAAUCUUGGAAUCUAUGCCUUGGUCGGGACAGUUGCUUGCAAUUUUUCGACUCGAACCAGGAAUUCCUUGUAAUCGUGAUUCAUCACAUCACGAUGAAUACGUCCCUGCCCUUUGUACACACCGCCCGUCGCUCCUACCGAUCGAAGAGUUAGGUGAAUUGUUUUGAUCGAUAAGGUUUGACUAUGGUCAACUCUCGUUGUGAAAUUCUCUGAAUCUGACUGUUUAGAGGAAGGAAAAGUCGUAACA